CUACGUGCCAGCAGCCGCGGUAAUACGUAUGUCACAAGCGUUAUCCGGAUUUAUUGGGCGUAAAGCGCGUCUAGGUGGUUAUGUAAGUCUGAUGUGAAAAUGCAGGGCUCAACUCUGUAUUGCGUUGGAAACUGCAUGACUAGAGUACUGGAGAGGUAAGCGGAACUACAAGUGUAGAGGUGGAAUUCGUAGAUAUUUGUAGGAAUGCCGAUGGGGAAGCCAGCUUACUGGACAGAUACUGACGCUAAAGCGCGAAAGCGUGGGUAGCAAACAGGAUUAGAUACCCUGGUAGUCCACGCCGUAAACGAUGAUUACUAGGUGUUGGGGGUCGAACCUCAGCGCCCAAGCUAACGCGAUAAGUAAUCCGCCUGGGGAGUACGUACGCAAGUAUGAAACUCAAAGGAAUUGACGGGGACCCGCACAAGCGGUGGAGCAUGUGGUUUAAUUCGACGCAACGCGAGGAACCUUACCAGCGUUUGACAUC
RNAcentral lists this ribosomal RNA (484 nucleotides) under uncultured bacterium. RNAcentral describes it as "bacterial SSU rRNA". It matches the Rfam family "Bacterial small subunit ribosomal RNA", at positions 501 to 988 of the family's 1533-position model. The record is from RNAcentral.